CUUUUUUCACUGUCCACUGUUUAAUGAACUGAGGCACAAUCCAUGACUAAAAGGGGAGGUCAGAAGGAUUAUGUAUAUAGAAUAAUUAUGCUGUAAGCAUCCAAACUGGCAAUUUAAAAUGUGGAGCAAACCGCUGGAACGUUGCCUUGGUUUCCAUAGUGACUGCAACAGAUAUGUACCAUUUUCUUAUUACAGUUGACACUCGCAAAUCAUAAAAAACGUAAUAAAAGACAGUAAAACAAUAAUAGUUUUAAGGCAUUCACACACACAAAAAAAAAAAACUUAACUCAUGAAGUUCUGGAGAGCUUACAAGUCCCUCUUUGUAUCAUAACUAAUAUAUCAUCGUAGAGUCAGUUUCGAUUGGACGAUUGAGUAGUUG
Non-coding RNA from Pelobates cultripes (western spadefoot toad), 379 nucleotides. The record is from the annotation of a GenBank genome assembly. Lineage: Eukaryota; Metazoa; Chordata; Amphibia; Anura; Pelobatidae.